Myotis brandtii (Brandt's bat) is the source of this 992-nucleotide RNA transcript. It is a transcript of the gene named LYR motif containing 4, with no coding region annotated. The record is from RefSeq and is a predicted model, not a curated record. The transcript is spliced from 4 exons. NCBI's taxonomy places the organism in Eukaryota, Metazoa, Chordata, Mammalia, Chiroptera, Vespertilionidae.
GCUGAGGCCCGGCCCGUCGGCGUAACCAAACCACACUGCAUUUGAAGUCGUGCGUGGUUUUGCAUAGGCUGACAUUUUGCGAUUGGGUUAAACUCGGGACCUCUGCGAAGAGGACCCACUUAUUUUUUUCUUUCCAAAAUGGCAGCCUCCAGCCGCGCACGAGUGUUAGAUCUGUACCGAGCGAUGCUGAGAGAGAGCAAGCAAUUCAGCGCCUACAAUUACAGAACUUAUGCUAUCAGGAAGAUAAGAGAUGCCUUCAGAGAAAAUAAGAAUAUGAAAGAUCCUGUGGAAAUUCAGGCUCUAGUGAAUAAAGCCAAGAGAGACCUGGAAAUGAUUCGUCGACAGUUUCUCCUAACAGCAGCCUUCUAAGACCAUACCAGUAUCCUUGGGUUAGAAGAGGAAAGUCAGACUUGGCAUGUUUUACUAGUUUUCCUGAAGACACACACUCAGAAGAAUGAGAGACAACCAGGAGGCAAAUAGAAGGAGCAGGAGAAGCUUACAUCUCAAGUAAUAUGACAUGUUAGUGACUAAAGCUGGAAUACCAACAUAUUGUGUACUUGAAAUGAUAGGCUGGCAUUUACCACAGGCAAUGCCUGUCUCACAGUACUUUCUGUAGAAACUGUGUUUCUGUAGAAACCUCGUGAUUGAACAGACACAUUCUCGAUGAGAGGGAUUCCCUCAUCCAAAGGCCACCACAUUGAGCCGGAUCACACCGUGGGCUUAUGCUAGCAGUGUGGCUCCUACCUUCGUACUGUCAAUGCAUCACAGUGUGUCAGACCUCAGAGGCCUCCGAAGUCAUCAGUACAGCCUUGGCUGAGGAACCUCGUGGGAAGGAGCUGCAGAGGCUUAGCCAGAAAUGGCCAGGCAGCCUUGGGAGCAAGCACUGCGCACUGGCUGCUUCCAAAUUGUUCUAGUUCUGUGUUUGGGAUGCUGAAGAGAUUUCCCUGCUAGAAAGAACAGGAAAAAAAAAUAUUAAAAGCCUUGUAUGAGAA